CAGUAGCCGCGGGAAUACGAAGGGUGCAAGCGUUACUCGGAAUUACUGGGCGUAAAGCGUGCGUAGGUGGUGGUUUAAGUCCGUUGUGAAAGCCCUGGGCUCAACCUGGGAAUUGCAGUGGAUACUGGGUCACUAGAGUGUGGUAGAGGAUAGUGGAAUUUCCGGUGUAGCAGUGAAAUGCGUAGAGAUCGGAAGGAACAUCUGUGGCGAAGGCGACUAUCUGGGCCAACACUGACACUGAGGCACGAAAGCGUGGGGAGCAAACGGGAUUAGAUACCCCUGUAGUCCCUGUCUCUUAUAA
Molecule: ribosomal RNA, 301 nt
Filed under: uncultured bacterium
Lineage: Bacteria
Description: partial 16S ribosomal RNA
Rfam family: Bacterial small subunit ribosomal RNA
Source: RNAcentral